Molecule: small nucleolar RNA, 196 nt
Organism: Heterocephalus glaber (naked mole-rat)
Lineage: Eukaryota; Metazoa; Chordata; Mammalia; Rodentia; Bathyergidae
Gene: SNORA73
Rfam family: Small nucleolar RNA SNORA73 family
About the family: U17 (SNORA73A and SNORA73B) also known as E1 belongs to the H/ACA class of small nucleolar RNAs (snoRNAs).
Source: Ensembl
ACAACAUGCAUACCCCAGAAGUCACUCUCCCCAGGCUCUGUCCAGGUGGUGUAGGGGAGCAUAGGGUUCUACCCCAUGAUGUAAGUUCCUUUCCAAAGUGUUGGAGAAGUGGGACUUUGUGUCUGUGCCUGUAUAUUUCUACAACUUUUCAGUCCUUUGUGCAAUAACUGAGGCAAUAACUACACAGGAAACAAUG